CCGAAACUUAAGGAAUUGACGGAAGGGCACCACCAGGAGUGGAAUCUGACGGCUUAAUUUGACCCAACGCGGGAAAACUCACCAGGUCAGGACACGGUAAGGAUUGACGGACUGAAGGCUCUUUCUCGAUUCCGUGGAAAGUGGUGCAUGGCCGUUUUUGGUUGGUGGAUCGAUCCGUCUGGUUAAUUCCGUUAACGAACGAGACCUCGGCACUCCGAAUAGCGCGGCGGACGUCGCGGCCUCCGGGCCGUCUUCCGCACGAGCUUCUUAGAGGGACCGUCCCCCGCCGGGGAAGGAGGUGCGAGGCAACGACAGGUCUGUGAUGCCCUUAGAUGUUCUGGGCCGCACGCGCAUUACACUGACGCGUCCAACGGGUGACUCCCGACCCGAAGGGGCCGGGGAAUCCGCAAGGCGCGUCGUGAUGGGGAUUGAACGUUGCAAUUGUUGUUCACGAACGAGGAAUUCCUAGUAGGCGCGGGUCAUCAACCCGCGCCGAUUACGUCCCUGC
Molecule: ribosomal RNA, 508 nt
Filed under: uncultured eukaryote
Lineage: Eukaryota
Description: bacterial SSU rRNA
Rfam family: Eukaryotic small subunit ribosomal RNA
Source: RNAcentral